This 301-nucleotide ribosomal RNA is filed under the name uncultured bacterium. Its description in RNAcentral is "partial 16S ribosomal RNA". It matches the Rfam family "Bacterial small subunit ribosomal RNA", at positions 509 to 807 of the family's 1533-position model. The record is from RNAcentral.
CAGUCGCCACGGUAAUACGAGCCGUGCGAACGUUAUCCGGAAUCACUGGGCUUAAAGCGCGUGUAGGCGGGCCGCCACGUCGGCUGCUGAAAUCCCCCGGCUCAACCGGGGAAGUGGCACCGAUACGAGCGGCCUCGAGGGGGGUAGGGGGCACUGGAACUUCCGGUGGGGCGGUGAAAUGCGUUGAGAUCGGAAGGAACGCCCGUGGCGAAGGCGAGUGCCUGGACCCUUUCUGACGCUGAGACGCGAAAGCCAGGGGAGCGAACGGGAUUAGAUACCCCAGUAGUCCCUGUCUCUUAUA